AGAGUUUGAUCAUGGCUCAGAUUGAACGCUGGCGGCAUGCCUUACACAUGCAAGUCGAACGGCAGCACGGGAGCAAUCCUGGUGGCGAGUGGCGAACGGGUGAGUAAUACAUCGGAACGUGCCCAGUUGUGGGGGAUAGCCCGGCGAAAGCCGGAUUAAUACCGCAUACGACCUGUGGGUGAAAGCGGGGGAUCGCAAGACCUCGCGCAAUUGGAGCGGCCGAUGUCAGAUUAGGUAGUUGGUGGGGUAAAGGCCCACCAAGCCGACGAUCUGUAGCUGGUCUGAGAGGACGACCAGCCACACUGGGACUGAGACACGGCCCAGACUCCUACGGGAGGCAGCAGUGGGGAAUUUUGGACAAUGGGCGCAAGCCUGAUCCAGCCAUGCCGCGUGUGGGAAGAAGGCCUUCGGGUUGUAAACCACUUUUGUCAGGGAAGAAACGGCUUAGUCUAAUAUGCUGAGCUAAUGACGGUACCUGAAGAAUAAGCACCGGCUAACUACGUGCCAGCAGCCGCGGUAAUACGUAGGGUGCAAGCGUUAAUCGGAAUUACUGGGCGUAAAGCGUGCGCAGGCGGCUUUGCAAGACAGAUGUGAAAUCCCCGGGCUCAACCUGGGAACUGCAUUUGUGACUGCAUGGCUAGAGUGCGGCAGAGGGGGAUGGAAUUCCGCGUGUAGCAGUGAAAUGCGUAGAUAUGCGGAG
Molecule: ribosomal RNA, 700 nt
Filed under: uncultured bacterium
Lineage: Bacteria
Description: bacterial SSU rRNA
Rfam family: Bacterial small subunit ribosomal RNA
Source: RNAcentral